CCUACCGAUUGGAUUGACGUUGCCCCAGUAGGUCUCGACUUGUGGGUGCUGCAACGGAUCACCGUACACCUCACUGGUGCUCGUUAGCAAAAACCGCGCACCGACUCUCUUGGCCAGUCCCAGCAUGUUCAACGUCCCGACCACAUUCGUCUUGUGCGAAACCGAAAUUAAGGAUUCACACAAAUUUCACCACAAUUAAUCAAAUAAAAAAAAAAAAACUGCGGUGCAGUUGAUGAACCAAAAACCCAGGCGAGAAAUUGAAGAUUGAAACAGUAAAUGCAUAAAAGGAAAUUGAAGGAUAUGAUUGUCUUAACGGGGUUGUGCUUGUAAUGAACGGGCGAGGCGGGGCAGGCGAGAUGGUAGAUCUGGUCGACUUCCAAGAGGAGCGGCUCGACGACGUCGUGUCGAAUGAGCUCGAACCUCGGAUUCCUGAAGUGGUG
Molecule: long non-coding RNA, 440 nt
Filed under: Salvia miltiorrhiza (redroot sage)
Lineage: Eukaryota; Viridiplantae; Streptophyta; Magnoliopsida; Lamiales; Lamiaceae
Description: long non-coding RNA (SMIL_LNC009341)
Source: RNAcentral